AAUAGAUACCCUGGUAGUCCUAGCCGUAAACGAGGAACACUAGGCGUAGCCGGUAUCGACCCCGGCUGUGCCGUAGCUAACGCAUUAAGUGUUCCGCCUGGGGAGUACGGCCGCAAGGCUAAAACUCAAAGGAAUUGACGGGGGGCCCGCACAAGCAGCGGAGCGUGUGGUUUAAUUCGUCGCAACGCGAAGAACCUUACCAGGGCUUGACAUGUGGCGGAAAACGGCGGAAACGUCGUCCUCCCGCAAGGGACCGUCAUGCAGGUGUUGCAUGGCUGUCGUCAGCUCGUGUCGUGAGAUGUUGGGUUAAGUCCCGCAACGAGCGCAACCCCCGUGGCAUGUUGUAUCUCUCAUGCCAGACUGCCGAGAGAAACUCGGAGGAAGGUGGGGAUGACGCCAAGUCAGCAUGGCCCUUACGUCCUGGGCUACACACACGCUACAAUGGCCGGUACAACGGGUUGCCAAACCGCGAGGUGGAGCUAAUCCCUUAAAGCCGGUCUCAGUUCGGAUUGCAGGCUGCAACUCGCCUGCAUGAAGCC
Molecule: ribosomal RNA, 539 nt
Filed under: uncultured bacterium
Lineage: Bacteria
Description: bacterial SSU rRNA
Rfam family: Bacterial small subunit ribosomal RNA
Source: RNAcentral